AUUUUUUUCCACAAGUAGUUGUACUUAUACUUAAGUACAGUGCAUAAAUACGUUUGUCAUCUUUGCUAUUCAAUGAUGUCUAAUGGUUAAAGUCCCUACCAACGUCCAUUCAAUAAUUUCUGUAACAGACGGAUGCUUCAGCAUAACCAAAUGAUGAAAAUGACCGCUUGGUGACGAUGUAAUAUCGAAAGUAAGGUCGAUGUGAUGCAAGCCGAAUGUCAAAUGAAACUACACAAACGUUUGAAAGUGGAAGCAAGCACGACAAAAGAGAAGGAUGCUGUCGAAGGGCCAUCUAUAUUCUGCAGUACUGCUCCUUGUGCUGAAGGGGGCAACAAAAUCGAG
Molecule: long non-coding RNA, 342 nt
Organism: Hippocampus comes (tiger tail seahorse)
Lineage: Eukaryota; Metazoa; Chordata; Actinopteri; Syngnathiformes; Syngnathidae
Exons: 3
Source: RefSeq, a predicted model, not a curated record